GCCGCUCGAAACUUUGCAUACCUCUACGUGGUGAGCGGCAGGCAACAUCUACUCCAUAGAUGGCUGAGAUGCAAGG
This 76-nucleotide ribozyme is filed under the name unclassified sequences. Its description in RNAcentral is "HDV ribozyme from F. prausnitzii". It matches the Rfam family "HDV ribozyme from F. prausnitzii". The record is from RNAcentral.